This 1540-nucleotide ribosomal RNA is filed under the name Staphylococcus aureus H41336. RNAcentral's name for it is "16S ribosomal RNA". It matches the Rfam family "Bacterial small subunit ribosomal RNA". Lineage: Bacteria; Bacillati; Bacillota; Bacilli; Caryophanales; Staphylococcaceae. The record is from RNAcentral.
AGAGUUUGAUCCUGGCUCAGGAUGAACGCUGGCGGCGUGCCUAAUACAUGCAAGUCGAGCGAACGGACGAGAAGCUUGCUUCUCUGAUGUUAGCGGCGGACGGGUGAGUAACACGUGGAUAACCUACCUAUAAGACUGGGAUAACUUCGGGAAACCGGAGCUAAUACCGGAUGAUAUUUUGAACCGCAUGGUUCAAAAGUGAAAGACGGUCUUGCUGUCACUUAUAGAUGGAUCCGCGCUGCAUUAGCUAGUUGGUAAGGUAACGGCUUACCAAGGCAACGAUGCAUAGCCGACCUGAGAGGGUGAUCGGCCACACUGGAACUGAGACACGGUCCAGACUCCUACGGGAGGCAGCAGUAGGGAAUCUUCCGCAAUGGGCGAAAGCCUGACGGAGCAACGCCGCGUGAGUGAUGAAGGUCUUCGGAUCGUAAAACUCUGUUAUUAGGGAAGAACAUAUGUGUAAGUAACUGUGCACAUCUUGACGGUACCUAAUCAGAAAGCCACGGCUAACUACGUGCCAGCAGCCGCGGUAAUACGUAGGUGGCAAGCGUUAUCCGGAAUUAUUGGGCGUAAAGCGCGCGUAGGCGGUUUUUUAAGUCUGAUGUGAAAGCCCACGGCUCAACCGUGGAGGGUCAUUGGAAACUGGAAAACUUGAGUGCAGAAGAGGAAAGUGGAAUUCCAUGUGUAGUGGUGAAAUGCGCAGAGAUAUGGAGGAACACCAGUGGCGAAGGCGACUUUCUGGUCUGUAACUGACGCUGAUGUGCGAAAGCGUGGGGAUCAAACAGGAUUAGAUACCCUGGUAGUCCACGCCGUAAACGAUGAGUGCUAAGUGUUAGGGGGUUUCCGCCCCUUAGUGCUGCAGCUAACGCAUUAAGCACUCCGCCUGGGGAGUACGACCGCAAGGUUGAAACUCAAAGGAAUUGACGGGGACCCGCACAAGCGGUGGAGCAUGUGGUUUAAUUCGAAGCAACGCGAAGAACCUUACCAAAUCUUGACAUCCUUUGACAACUCUAGAGAUAGAGCCUUCCCCUUCGGGGGACAAAGUGACAGGUGGUGCAUGGUUGUCGUCAGCUCGUGUCGUGAGAUGUUGGGUUAAGUCCCGCAACGAGCGCAACCCUUAAGCUUAGUUGCCAUCAUUAAGUUGGGCACUCUAAGUUGACUGCCGGUGACAAACCGGAGGAAGGUGGGGAUGACGUCAAAUCAUCAUGCCCCUUAUGAUUUGGGCUACACACGUGCUACAAUGGACAAUACAAAGGGCAGCGAAACCGCGAGGUCAAGCAAAUCCCAUAAAGUUGUUCUCAGUUCGGAUUGUAGUCUGCAACUCGACUACAUGAAGCUGGAAUCGCUAGUAAUCGUAGAUCAGCAUGCUACGGUGAAUACGUUCCCGGGUCUUGUACACACCGCCCGUCACACCACGAGAGUUUGUAACACCCGAAGCCGGUGGAGUAACCUUUUAGGAGCUAGCCGUCGAAGGUGGGACAAAUGAUUGGGGUGAAGUCGUAACAAGGUAGCCGUAUCGGAAGGUGCGGCUGGAUCACCU